AAUAGAUACCCCGGUAGUCCACGCAGUAAACGAUGAUUACUAGUUGUUUGCGAUACAAUGUAAGCGACUGAGCGAAAGCGUUAAGUAAUCCACCUGGGGAGUACGUUCGCAAGAAUGAAACUCAAAGGAAUUGACGGGGGCCCGCACAAGCGGAGGAACAUGUGGUUUAAUUCGAUGAUACGCGAGGAACCUUACCCGGGCUUGAAAUGCGGCGGACCGGCAGAGAGAUCUGCCUUCCCUUCGGGGCCGCCGUGUAGGUGCUGCAUGGUUGUCGUCAGCUCGUGCCGUGAGGUGUCGGCUUAAGUGCCAUAACGAGCGCAACCCUCAUCAUUAGUUACUAUCAGGUCAUGCUGAGGACUCUAGUGAGACUGCCAUCGUAAGAUGCGAGGAAGGUGGGGAUGACGUCAAAUCAGCACGGCCCUUACGUCCGGGGCGACACACGUGUUACAAUGGGUGGUACAAAGGGCAGCUACCUGGCGACAGGAUGCUAAUCUCCAAAACCACUCUCAGUUCGGAUCGG
This 520-nucleotide ribosomal RNA is filed under the name uncultured bacterium. RNAcentral describes it as "bacterial SSU rRNA". It matches the Rfam family "Bacterial small subunit ribosomal RNA", at positions 777 to 1301 of the family's 1533-position model. The record is from RNAcentral.